GUCUACGUCUGUGCUACCCUGAACAAGCCCGAUCCUGUCUGACCUUGGAAGCUAAGCAGGGUUAGGCCUGGUUAGUACUUGGAUGGGAGACCACCUAGGAAGACCAGGUGCUGUAGGUG
Molecule: ribosomal RNA, 119 nt
Filed under: Pteropus alecto (black flying fox)
Lineage: Eukaryota; Metazoa; Chordata; Mammalia; Chiroptera; Pteropodidae
Source: RNAcentral